This is a long non-coding RNA of Archocentrus centrarchus (flier cichlid), 156 nucleotides long. RefSeq lists it as uncharacterized. Lineage: Eukaryota; Metazoa; Chordata; Actinopteri; Cichliformes; Cichlidae. The transcript has 2 exons. The record is from RefSeq and is a predicted model, not a curated record.
AAGAGACACGAUAGCCUUUUCAGCUACAGAGAGCCAAACAGAAAAAACAAAGCAGACAAAGAUUAAACCUGUCACUUAACUAUCCAAAUAACAUUGCCCCAACGUGUUUAACCGGCUGUCAUUAGGCUGUGUAUAGCCAGAGGGCAAUAAAAAAAA